GUGCUCGCUUCGGCAGCACGUAUACUACAGUUGGAACGAUACAGAGAAGAUGAGCAUGGCCCCUGUGCAAGGAUGACACGCACAUUCGUGAAGCGCUCCAUAUUUUA
Tupaia belangeri (northern tree shrew) is the source of this 107-nucleotide small nuclear RNA. Lineage: Eukaryota; Metazoa; Chordata; Mammalia; Scandentia; Tupaiidae. The record is from Ensembl.